AGAGUUUGAUCAUGGCUCAGAACGAACGCUGGCGGCAGGCCUAAUACAUGCAAGUCGAACGCCGUAGCAAUACGGAGUGGCAGACGGGUGAGUAACACGUGGGAACGUGCCCAAAGGUACGGAACAACUCCGGGAAACUGGAGCUAAUACCGUAUGUGCCCGAGAGGGGAAAGAUUUAUCGCCUUUGGAUCGGCCCGCGUCUGAUUAGCUAGUUGGCGGGGUAAUGGCCCACCAAGGCGACGAUCAGUAGCUGGUCUGAGAGGAUGACCAGCCACACUGGGACUGAGACACGGCCCAGACUCCUACGGGAGGCAGCAGUAGGGAAUAUUGGACAAUGGGCGAAAGCCUGAUCCAGCCAUGCCGCGUGAGUGAUGAAGGCCUUAGGGUUGUAAAGCUCUUUCGCCAGGGACGAUAAUGACGGUACCUGGAUAAGAAGCCCCGGCUAACUUCGUGCCAGCCGCCGCGGUAAUUC
This 472-nucleotide ribosomal RNA is filed under the name uncultured bacterium. RNAcentral's name for it is "bacterial SSU rRNA". It matches the Rfam family "Bacterial small subunit ribosomal RNA", at positions 8 to 526 of the family's 1533-position model. The record is from RNAcentral.